RNAcentral lists this ribosomal RNA (435 nucleotides) under uncultured Bolidomonas. RNAcentral describes it as "partial Bacterial large subunit ribosomal RNA". It matches the Rfam family "Bacterial large subunit ribosomal RNA", at positions 671 to 1103 of the family's 2925-position model. Lineage: Eukaryota; Bolidophyceae. The record is from RNAcentral.
GCGAAAGCGAGUCUGAAUAGGGCGUUGAGUCGCAUGCUGUAGACCCGAAGCCAAGUGAUCUAUCCAUGGCCAGGUUGAAGCGGAGGUAAGACUCCGUGGAGGACCGAACCCACGUAGGUUAAAAACUGCCGGGAUGAGCUGUGGAUAGGGGUGAAAGGCUAAUCAAACUUGGCAAUAGCUGGUUCUCCUCGAAAUGCAUUUAGGUGCAGCGUCGUGCGUUCAGUCUCGGAGGUAGAGCACUGAUUAGGUUAGGGGGCCCACAAGCUUACCGACCCUAGUCAAACUCCGAAUGCCGAGACUCCAGAGCACGGCAGUGAGACCACGAGGGAUGAGCUUCGUUGGUCGAAAGGGAAACAGCCCAGAUCAUCAGCUAAGGCCCCUAAUUCUGUACUAAGUGGUAAACGAUGUGGGAUUGCAUAGACAGCCAGGAGGUUG